This 221-nucleotide unclassified non-coding RNA is filed under the name uncultured Actinomycetes bacterium. RNAcentral describes it as "uncultured actinobacterium contains 16S-23S intergenic spacer region". The record is from RNAcentral. Lineage: Bacteria; Bacillati; Actinomycetota; Actinomycetes.
UCCGGUUUGGCACCGGCAGUCUCCAAUGAGUCCCCGGCAUUACCCGCUGGCAACAUUGGACAGGGGUUGCGCUCGUUGCGCCACUUAAGGCAACACCUCACGGCACGAGCUGACGACAGCCAUGCAGCACCUGUGCAGGCUCCCGAAGGAGCACCGGCUUUCACCGGUUUCACCCUGCAUGUCAAGCCCUGGUAAGGUGGGGAUGACGUCAAGGUACGGAC